GUCCAUGACGGUACCGUAAGAAUAAGCACCGGCUAACUACGUGCCAGCAGCCGCGGUAAUACGUAGGGUGCAAGCGUUAAUCGGAAUUACUGGGCGUAAAGCGUGCGCAGGCGGUUAUAUAAGACAGAUGUGAAAUCCCCGGGCUCAACCUGGGAACUGCAUUUGUGACUGUAUAGCUAGAGUACGGCAGAGGGGGAUGGAAUUCCGCGUGUAGCAGUGAAAUGCGUAGAUAUGCGGAGGAACACCGAUGGCGAAGGCAAUCCCCUGGGCCUGUACUGACGCUCAUGCACGAAAGCGUGGGGAGCAAACAGGAUUAGAUACCCUGGUAGUCCACGCCCUAAACGAUGUCAACUGGUUGUUGGGUCUUCACUGACUCAGUAACGAAGCUAACGCGUGAAGUUGACCGCCUGGGGAGUACGGCCGCAAGGUUAAAACUCAAAUGAAUUGACGGGGGCCCGCACAAG
RNAcentral lists this ribosomal RNA (464 nucleotides) under uncultured Isochrysis. RNAcentral describes it as "partial Bacterial small subunit ribosomal RNA". It matches the Rfam family "Bacterial small subunit ribosomal RNA", at positions 465 to 929 of the family's 1533-position model. The record is from RNAcentral. Lineage: Eukaryota; Haptophyta; Isochrysidales.